RNAcentral lists this long non-coding RNA (425 nucleotides) under Phoenix dactylifera (date palm). RNAcentral's name for it is "long non-coding RNA (PDAC_LNC020776)". Lineage: Eukaryota; Viridiplantae; Streptophyta; Magnoliopsida; Arecales; Arecaceae. The record is from RNAcentral.
AAAUUUGUCGAAAUCCGAUUCUUUCUCUUUUAACCACCUCUACAACCCUUAUCUGACCCCUCUAGACUACAUCCACCCUUUGUAUAGCCUAAUGUCACCAAAAGACUAGAUAGGGACGGAUAUUUACCUUUUUCUUUUUGGAAAUCGAGGUCCUUGCGUAGAGGGGAAGGAGAUCUACACUUUUUCCUUAGCUAGAAGCGCAACCGGAGCUUCCUUGCACCUCGAAUCCCCUCCCUCUUUCUUCUUCUUCUUCUUCUUUUUCUUCUUCUUCUCUUUUUCCCUCUCUCUGUGUUUCCACGCCUGAGACCUCCUCUCCCUCUCUGUCUCAAUUCCCUCUUCUCAGCCAACCCACCGCCAGACAACCCCCAUUUAAGUCAAAUCAAACUCUGAAAAUUCCCAUUUUGCCCUUGCCACUUCGAUAUAUC